GGUUGACCUCGGAUCAGGUAGGGAUACCCGCUGAACUUAAGCAUAUCAAUAAGCGGAGGAAAAGAAACCAACAGGGAUUGCCUCAGUAACGGCGAGUGAAGCGGCAAGAGCUCAAAUUUGAAAGCUGGCUCCUUCGGGGUCCGCAUUGUAAUUUGCAGAGGAUGCUUCGGGCAUGGCCCCCGUCUAAG
This 188-nucleotide ribosomal RNA is filed under the name Aspergillus clavatus. RNAcentral describes it as "partial 28S ribosomal RNA". It matches the Rfam family "Eukaryotic large subunit ribosomal RNA", at positions 1 to 185 of the family's 3401-position model. Lineage: Eukaryota; Fungi; Ascomycota; Eurotiomycetes; Eurotiales; Aspergillaceae. The record is from RNAcentral.